GUCUUUUUGUAUUUAAUUUAAAGUUUAACCUGCCCAUUGAAUAAAUUUUAAAAGGCUGCAGUAUAUUGACUGUACAAAGGUAGCAUAAUCAUUAGUUUUUUAAUUGAAAACUUGUAUGAAUGGUUGAAUGAGAAAUUAACUUUUUUUUAAAAAAUAAUUGAAUUUUACUUUUUAGUUAAAAGGCUAAAAUAUAUUUAAAAGACGAGAAGACCCUAUAGAGUUUUAUAAUAAAUUUUUUAUUAUUUUAAAGGUUUAUUUUUUUUAAUAUUAAUUAUAUUAUUUUAUUGGGGUGAUAAUAAAACUUAAUAAACUUUUAUUAAUUGAAUAAUACAUUAAUAUAUGAGCGUUUGAUCCAAUUAUAUUGAUUAAAAAUUUAAAUUACCUUAGGGAUAACAGCGUAAUUUUUUUUUAAGUUCUUAUUAAUAAAAAAUUUUGCGACCUCGAUGUUGGAUUAAGAUUAAAUUUUAGGUGCAGUAGCUUAAAUUUUAAGUCUGUUCGACUUUUAAAUUCUU
This 512-nucleotide ribosomal RNA is filed under the name Bradysia praecox. RNAcentral describes it as "partial small subunit ribosomal RNA". Lineage: Eukaryota; Metazoa; Arthropoda; Insecta; Diptera; Sciaridae. The record is from RNAcentral.